AACAUAGAAGUAAAAAUUGCACUUAGUUUCGACCUAAGAUUUAAGGUUUAUAAAACCUUCGUGUUU
RNAcentral lists this transfer RNA (66 nucleotides) under Nesophrosyne sp. 242 GMB-2012. RNAcentral describes it as "tRNA-Arg". Lineage: Eukaryota; Metazoa; Arthropoda; Insecta; Hemiptera; Cicadellidae. The record is from RNAcentral.